GAUGAACGCUGGCGGCGUGCCUAACACAUGCAAGUCGAACGAAGCUCCCCGAAUUGAGUUUUCGGACAAGAGGAAGGGAUGACUUAGUGGCGGACGGGUGAGUAACGCGUGAGCAACCUGCCUCGGAGUGGGGGACAACAGUUGGAAACGACUGCUAAUACCGCAUAACGUGCAGAGGGGACAUCUCCUUUGCACCAAAGAUUUAUUGCUCUGAGAUGGGCUCACGUCUGAUUAGUUAGUUGGUAGGGUAACGGCCUACCAAGACUGCGAUCAGUAGCCGGACUGAGAGGUCGAACGGCCACAUUGGGACUGAGACACGGCCCAAACUCCUACGGGAGGCAGCAGUGGGGAAUAUUGCACAAUGGGCGAAAGCCUGAUGCAGCGACGCCGCGUGAGCGAAGAAGUAUUUCGGUAUGUAAAGCUCUAUCAGCAGGGAAGAAAAUGACGGUACCUGACUAAGAAGCCCCGGCUAACUACGUGCCAGCAGCCGCGGUAAUACGUAGGGGGCAAGCGUUAUCCGGAUUUACUGGGUGUAAAGGGAGCGUAGGCGGCAAGGCAAGU
Molecule: ribosomal RNA, 561 nt
Filed under: uncultured bacterium
Lineage: Bacteria
Description: bacterial SSU rRNA
Rfam family: Bacterial small subunit ribosomal RNA
Source: RNAcentral